UACGGAGGGUGCAAGCGUUAAUCGGAAUUACUGGGCGUAAAGCGUGCGUAGGUGGUUCGUUAAGUCCGUUGUGAAAGCCCCGAGCUCAACUUGGGAAUUGCAGUGGAUACUGGCGGGCUGGAGUGCGGUAGAGGAAGGUGGAAUUCCCGGUGUAGCGGUGAAAUGCGUAGAGAUCGGGAGGAACACCAGUGGCGAAGGCGGCCUUCUGGACCAGCACUGACACUCAAGCACGAAAGCGUGGGGAGCAAACAGG
This 253-nucleotide ribosomal RNA is filed under the name uncultured prokaryote. Its description in RNAcentral is "partial 16S ribosomal RNA". It matches the Rfam family "Bacterial small subunit ribosomal RNA", at positions 524 to 776 of the family's 1533-position model. The record is from RNAcentral.